RNAcentral lists this long non-coding RNA (1855 nucleotides) under Cercocebus atys (sooty mangabey). RNAcentral's name for it is "lncRNA (ENSCATG00000045715.1)". Lineage: Eukaryota; Metazoa; Chordata; Mammalia; Primates; Cercopithecidae. The record is from RNAcentral.
GUUAAGUAGAUGAUCUAGUAUGCUACUUGAACUUUAAGGGGGGCCUUAACUGUCUUAACUUAAAAUAGUAAGUGUGUGAAAAUUGUAGGCAACUUUAUGUAGAUAUAUGCCUGCCAGAUAAUAUCACUCUUUCCUUCUCACACAUAUUCUAACUGGGCAGCAUGCCUCCAACUGUGUUCCACCCUGCAAGGCCUGGGCUCCCCAUGUUAAGAUUAGUUCUCUAAUUUGGCAGCUUAAAACAACACAAAUGUAUUAUCUUACAGUUCUGGAGGUUAGAGUUCCAGAAUGAAUUUCACUGGGCUAAAAUCAAGGUGCGGGUAGGGCUGGGGUUUUUUUUGUUGUUGUUGUUGUUGGUUUUUUUUUUUUUUUUUUUUUUUUUUUUUUUUUUUUUUUUUUUGAGGCUUUAGAAGAUAAUCCACUUAUUUGCCUCUUUCAGCCUCUGGAGGACCCUUCAUCGCUUGGCUUAUGGCCCUCUUCAUCCAUCUUCAAAGCCAGGAACAUUGCAUUUACCUGAACAUUCUUCUAUAGUCUCAUCUCCCUCUAGCCAUAGCCGAGAAAUGUUCUUCACUUUGAAGAAACCAUAUGGGUUGAAUUGUGGCCCCUCAAAAGCUGUGACAGGUCGGUGGCGGAGUAUUUUUCACUUCAGAAGCCAAGAACUUUUGCUAGAAUAUGAAGGCCAGAGCAGCUGGGCUUUAAUGCUAGAUUCUGCACAGGGAAGACAAAGGAAAAAACAGGAUGAAGUAUAUGUCAGAAUGCUGAGGAUGUGUUCCCAUGAGUUUCUCCCUCCUUGUACCCCACCGAAUGGAAUGUUAAAAAUACGGAGAAAGCAAUUUAUGCAGAUGAAGUCCCAACUCUGGCCAUGGCCAAUAUUAGCUGGAUAAUUCUUUGAAUCUGGCUAAUGUGGAAUCUUGCAAGGACAAAGAGGAUUUGCUCAUGAACUGGUAAGAGAGGUACUGGUCAUGCAUGCUUAAAUGUGCUAAUAGUUCUGGUCUUUAAUGGUACCGACUUAAUGAAGAUGAUGUUAUGCAUUUUUAAUUGUUCGCCUAUGAUUCGACAUUAGCCAUGCCUUUCUAAUAUGAAGAUUUGUUGGCCAGAACUGACAUUAGCUGAAAGUGGAUCCUUAACUUGUCAGUUCCUCCCACAUCUUCCUUGCCUUUGUUUUCCCUAGUGCCUUUCAACUGAAUUGAUGAGCCCUAUUUGCAGACCCAGAUCACCCCCUAACCCUUUCCUAAAUCAAUGUUUAAAAUGGCAGAAAAUAUAUCAACAACCUCAGACUAAUUUAACAGGGCUUGAAACACUGAGCCGGGAGUGAGCUUUGUGCGUUCAUUACACCCCUGAAUUGCAGUGCUCCUCGCCCCCUUUCUAGGUUACUUUUGCUCUGUUCUCCCACUGUGCAGUUUGGUAAUUUGGCCUUGUUUCCCUCUAGGACUAACUCCCCAUGCAGAACCUUGCCUAACUCCUGCCAAACUUUUCUUCCUAGACUCUGCCCUAGCCCAUUUCUUUGAUACCUUAUCAGUUGGCAAGAUAUGGACAUAUCAUGAUGAUGAUGCACACUGUGCUUCACUUCUGGGUUGAAACCUUUCUGGAAGUUCUUGUUACUGAGUUGGCUCUCCUCCCUCUGACUAUUAUUUGAGGCUAUAAACACUGCUCUAGGCAUUCCCAACUGUCCUGGCUGAGAUCCUGCUCUGCAAACUGUGGUCAGAUUCCCUCAAAACCUAUUCUAGUUAAUGGGUCUUUGCUUGGUCCAACUUCCUCUCCCCUCAUGCAUUGUGGCUGAAUCCAUCUAUGAUUUGUCUUUGUAGUUGAUGUGAGGGCUUCUGCAAAAAGCUCUAUCUCCAAAGUCUCCAUCUGUGAU